Molecule: small RNA, 147 nt
Filed under: Marmota monax (woodchuck)
Lineage: Eukaryota; Metazoa; Chordata; Mammalia; Rodentia; Sciuridae
Source: RNAcentral
GCCAGGCAUGGUGGUGCACACCUGUAAUCCCAGCAACUCAGGAGGCUGAGGCAGGAGGAUUGCAAGUUCAAAAACAGCUUCAGCAAUUUAGCAAGGCUAUAAGCAACUUAGUGAGGCCCUAAGCAACUUGGUGAAACCCUGUCUCAA